UCCCAUUCAUCUGUGCUGCUUUCUGGAUCAGUUCCCACGCUUCCUCCUUCCUGUCACUGGCCAUCAACCAGCGGGCUGACUUUGGCAACACCCUGAACAUGUGCAGACAAAUUGCUCAGAUCUGGGUCACUCUGCUGCCCACUCACCAGAUGUAGAAGAUGAAGAGGAAACCAGGGACUGAGAUAGCCAGCUGUAGUUUACGCCAGUCUCUUAUGAGAUGGAAUCUUAUUGUUUCACAGUCACCUGCACAAAUGUAUAUUGUUUCCAAUUCUAUGUUUUACCACUGAACUGAAAUGAACCUUUU
Long non-coding RNA from Thunnus maccoyii (southern bluefin tuna), 304 nucleotides. RefSeq lists it as uncharacterized. NCBI's taxonomy places the organism in Eukaryota, Metazoa, Chordata, Actinopteri, Scombriformes, Scombridae. The transcript has 3 exons. The record is from RefSeq and is a predicted model, not a curated record.